GCCAAACAGCAUACUUGGGCUUUCACAUGGAUUCCUCCUUGGCCAUUUGCAGUCAAUGGGCCUUGACUUCCCAAAGAACAUUAGUGUGAUUGCUGUAUGUCCCAAGGGAAUGGGGCCUUCAGUCAGGAGAUUAUAUGUUCAAGGAAAAGAAGUCAAUGGUGCUGGAAUUAAUUCAAGUUUUGCAGUUCACCAGGAUAUUGAUGGAAGAGCCACAGAUGUUGCUCUUGGGUGGUCUGUUGCCCUUGGUUCUCCUUUUACUUUUGCUACUACUCUAGAGCAGGAAUAUAAAAGUGACAUUUUUGGGGAACGAGGCAUUUUACUUGGUGCUGUCCAUGGAGUUGUGGAGUCGCUUUUCAGAAGGUACACUGAGAACGGAAUGAAUGAGGAGCUUGCAUACAAGAACACUGUAGAAUGCAUAACAGGAGUCAUUUCAAAAACCAUAUCAACAAAGGGCAUGUUGGCUGUGUACGACUCAUUGACUGAGGAGGGCAAGAAGGAGUUUGAAGCUGCAUACAGUGCUUCAUUCUACCCCUGCAUGGAGAUUUUGUAUGAGUGCUAUGAAGAUGUAGCUACAGGUAGCGAGAUCAGGAGCGUUGUCUUGGCUGGCCGCCGCUUUUAUGAAAAGGAGGGCUUACCUGCCUUCCCAAUGGGGAAAAUUGAUCAAACAAGGAUGUGGAAGGUUGGUGAGCGCGUCCGAGCAACCCGACCAGCUGGUGAUCUUGGUCCUCUGUAUCCAUUCACCGCUGGUGUCUUUGUGGCAUUGAUGAUGGCCCAGAUUGAGGUUCUGAGGAAGAAAGGCCACUCUUACUCAGAGAUCAUAAACGAAAGUGUCAUUGAGUCUGUUGAUUCCCUGAAUCCUUUCAUGCAUGCACGUGGAGUGUCUUUCAUGGUUGACAAUUGCUCUACAACAGCGCGUUUGGGAUCUAGAAAGUGGGCUCCUCGAUUUGAUUACAAUCUCACCCAGCAAGCACUGGUGGCAGUCGACAAUAACCUGCCAAUCAAUAUGGCCCUUAUGACCGAUUUCGUAUGUGAUCCUGUCCAUGAAGCUAUUGAAGUUUGUGCCCGAUUGAGACCUACUGUCGACAUUUCAGUUCCUGCAGAUGCUGACUUUGUCCGUCCCGAGCUCAGACAAACUGUCAACUAAGGUUCUUUGUCUGUCAUUUCUAUUGAGAAUGAGUAUGGCAUUAGGCAGUGCCAUGUUUAGUCUGAUCGAGCAUUUUCAAAGGUAGAGAUCGUUUCUGUAUGCUGUGCUUUUUGGGGUGUAAGGAGAUCUACUUAAUAACAUAUUUCUGUUGGUAAAAAAAAAAAACCUUUUUCUGUACUAUGGAAUUUUAUGUACUUUUGCAGAUUAACUGAAUAAAAACUCAGUUUGGAGUCUCUUUA
This 1383-nucleotide unclassified non-coding RNA is filed under the name Hevea brasiliensis (rubber tree). Lineage: Eukaryota; Viridiplantae; Streptophyta; Magnoliopsida; Malpighiales; Euphorbiaceae. The record is from RNAcentral.